Molecule: ribosomal RNA, 157 nt
Filed under: Chaenothecopsis consociata
Lineage: Eukaryota; Fungi; Ascomycota; Eurotiomycetes; Mycocaliciales; Mycocaliciaceae
Also listed under: 3 other names
Description: 5.8S ribosomal RNA
Rfam family: 5.8S ribosomal RNA
About the family: 5.8S ribosomal RNA (5.8S rRNA) is a component of the large subunit of the eukaryotic ribosome. It is transcribed by RNA polymerase I as part of the 45S precursor that also contains 18S and 28S rRNA. Functionally, it is thought that 5.8S rRNA may be involved in ribosome translocation.
Source: RNAcentral
AAACUUUCAACAACGGAUCUCUUGGUUCUGGCAUCGAUGAAGAACGCAGCGAAAUGCGAUAAGUAAUGUGAAUUGCAGAAUUCAGUGAAUCAUCGAAUCUUUGAACGCACAUUGCACCCCCUGGUAUUCCGGGGGGUAUGCCUGUUCGAGCGUCAUU